UCUGCAAUAACACAACCAACCAAAAAAGGAGGGGGGUAAAUUACUAGAAGAAAAGAAUGUCGAGUCACCCACAUUUCCGUGAUGACAUAAUCAAAAAGAAACAAGCCAAGAAAAACCGGAGAAAGGAUCAAUAGCCAAAAGAAAAAGAAAAUUGCGACUGUCUCGGCUCUUUUCUUCUGUGUGUUUCUAACCAGGUUAAUUGACAUCUCGCCGGCGUGGAAAUUGCCAUCCUCAACGGAGGAGGCUCAGAGAUGACAGCACAGCUCUCCUAAUACCAACAUGGAACAUCACAAGACAGACGAGCUGACGAAUGGAUGAAACUUAAAAAGGCCAACAGCAGCCGGGGCCCAGCAAGUCACGCAAAGUGUGUUGAUGGUUCGGUUUUCGGUGUCCCAGGUUUCAUUCUAAUUACUGGUGUUGGCGGGGGCACACUGGAUGGAUUGUCGUUUUUUACCUGCGGACAGCGCCCAUUCCGGCCGCCGAGCUGGCGCUUCGCAACACCUUGGCCUUGGGCAUGUAGCGUGAUGAAUAGCCGCCUCCGCGCGAUGGCUGAGACUCCAAGUCCGUGUCGCCAAAGUAGCGCAUCUGGCGGCGAGAUUGAGCCGCUGCUGCCGAAGUGGCCGCCGGAGGCGGCGGAGCUGAUUCCAGAGGACCUGCCGGAGCGAUGGAUGGACCUCUGGGCUGCUGCUGUGGCUGCUGGUUCUCUUCCGAUCCGCUGCGAUCCCUCAAUUCCGCUGACUCCACCCCGAUUUGAUGGAUCAAAUUGGUGCUGGCGUAUGGGCGGGCGUCGGGUCCGCGCUGCUGCUGAUGUUGGGACUUGUAGCGAUGGCCGCCAUCAUCCGGAUAGCGACGGCUCGAUUGGAAUUGAACGGAAGUAUCCGGAUGGCGACGAUUCUGAUUGUGCUGGUGCUCCUCACCCAACACGACCACCGGAUCCGGUCGGUAAUUCAAAUUGUUGAAACUCUGCGCGCCACAAAAAAAGACGAAAUAACCGAAAAAAUGAAACUUUUUCCAAGAAAGACAAAAAAAGAAAUUAGACAUCGUCGUUGUUCGUCGUGCUGCGCAGUGCAGUCACGCUUGUCUCCCCCCCCCCCCCCCCCAGUGCCCUCUACGACGUUGUUCAAAGUGGAGCUGACGGAAAAACAAAAAAACCGGCCGGAAAAGCAGACGGAAAAUAACAAGGUGAUUGGCAUCGAGCUGAUUCCCGGGCCGCGGGAAUAGCUACAGCAGAAGAAGAAAGGGGCUUUCGCGUGACACCAAAGUGCCGACCGAAGAAACAACAACCUGGCGACCCGAAAAGAGGCAAGUUAAGAAAAAUGAAAUCGAGUACAUCCAGAUGAAUGGCCAGCAGAGCAGGCCAGCGACCGAUGUUAUAACGGGCGGCUAUCUAGCUCUGCAUGCGCCCCGAGUUUAUACCAACAAGGGAGAGUGCAAGGAGGCCGGUUAUGGUCACAUCUUAGGCUAUACAGGUAUUAUUAUUACAAGUCCAACUGGACAACUUUCUCGCACGACCCAGACGAUCUGCCGGACUGGCGAAAUGGAGAGAGAAAACAAAAGCUAUAGCCGAGAAGAAGAAGAAGAAGAAGCCAACAGUCUCCGAAAUUUGUAAUUUUUCUUGACAUUUCUUCGCCAAUUUGGGAGGGAAAGUUUUUUCUCCGUGCCGCCGCCGCCGCCGGAUCGGCCAGCAUCUAAUCUAAUGAUAAGAACGUGCAAACAAUUCUCUCUCUCUUCACUUAUUUGUGCUUCUUCUGUUCUCUAACUAUGGCUAAUUCCCAUUCAUCUCGAAUUUUAGGCGUGCUGGUGUUGCAGCAGCAUCCAUCCUACCCACACAAGGGGGGAAAACAAGAGAACCAUCAAUUGAAUUGCCAUAUUCCGAGAUGAGCGCGCGCCGUGAACCUUAUUCAGCAUCGUUCCAGGUGAAAAGCAACGAGCUGUUCAGCAACGAUACACACGUUCCGCCACGGGUUUUUAUAUAAUAUCAAGUACCUGCAUAUCUUUUUUUCUUUUCUUUUCUUUUUGGACUCCACUCUCUAAAAUUCUGAUUGUAGUGCGAAAGUUAUACGAUAUAAAUGUAUAACAUUGUCUUGUGUGCUGUGUGUGUUGUUGCUGGACUCUACUGCGAGCUAUAUUAUGUCCUAUAGCAACAGCUGUGUUUGUGCAGUUUGCACGACCGGCACGCUCGCUCCCAAGGUCGAUAGGUACUUCUUCUUCUUCUAUUCAUUCUGAAGAAGAAGAAGAAGAAAAAAGUGUAGUACUCUUUUUUUUUCUUCAUUUUUAAUUUAAUGGUUUACUUAUUCAAACAGCCUGGCGUCUAUCUCGAAUGUUUCCUUUUUUUCCUUUUUGCUAUGGGAGCCUGGAGAACGAAGCGGGAGCUCUAGCGCGUGUAUAUUUUUUGAUAGCGUUUUAAUCUAAUUUAUAACCCAAACAGCAUCUUUAUCUGUCUGUGGUGCUUUUGCAUUAUGCUAAUGUAGGACGAGGCCGGCUCUAAUAUUAUUGUGUACAUAUAGAUGAGGGUCUCUCCAGCUUCUUUUUCUUUCGUUGCGCGCAAAACGAACAAAAAAAAAGCCCAGGGUUUUUUUAUUUUAUUUUAUCGGAGGACGCCCGACCGGCCUUAUAAGGCGAAAAAUACAAAAAUACCUUCCAUCACUGAACUCCCCCCCCCCUUCCCGAAAAGAUUUUUUUGUAUUUUUCAUUUUUUGUAAAAGACUGUCCAGCCCUGUAUGACGUCAUUCGAUUCGGCCAAAAAAACAAAACAAAAAGGCGACGGUUGGAUUCUUCCAAUGUGUUCACACAAGACACGAACAGCCAAACUAUUGAAAUGUGUGAGAGGAAAAGACGCCCGAGGCCGACUGUGAGUCUUUUUGGGGAUUUUUUUCGUGUACAUAUAAUAAGCCGCGUGUGUGUGAUAUUUCGUGGUCAACUCCCUCCUCAUUUUUUUUCGGUUUAAGCCGAGAGUUGUUGCUACUCUAUACUCCGCUUUAGGCUCGUUCGUAAAGAAGAAAGUCGUAAAUAAUACACGCCCAUGAUUUCCUUUUAUUAUUAUUUUUUUUUUUAGGUUUUCUUAUAAAAUUACCUGAGCAGGUGAAUCACCUGGAAUCAAUUGUAUAUAGCCCCAGCUGACGGUCGCCACAGAGCUUGAUAUUUCGAUACCACGGCGCGCUCUGCAUUUCUACUUGUUUUCAUUUCUCCGAUAAUAAAUAAAGAAAGAAAUGGAUCAAUUACCUUGGGGCUACGACCUCUUCGAUGCGCUUAUAUUCUUCCACACACUCGUUUCCUCUCGCAACGCCGCAAAACGCUCAAUCCCGACGCUUCCCGAUUUCCCAUUGCAUAAUAAAAUAAGACAAACCAGAAAGAAAAAAAAGGUAAAUCGUAUCAAGGUCGAUCGUGUGUGGCUUUUCAGUCGAUGCUAAUCGGACCUGUCGCGCAAUGUAAUAACGACGCCACUAAAGACUGCGCCCAUCACACAGCAAGCGAUUCGCCUCUAGCGGACGACCGAUUGGAAUUUUCUUUUUUCCCAUUUGACGACUGCGUGAUGCAUCCCUACGGGCUGAUUGACUAUAAUCUGAUGCCUGUCCUGUCACAUUAGAUUUUACGAUUGUGCUGGCGCAUUUUGUUAUAGAAGAGACGUGACGACUGCGAAUCCAACGAACGCACCGGUUAUUCUCGUCUGCAGUUUUAUUUAUUCUUUUUUUUGUUGUUGUUUUGUUUUCUUGUCCAGCUGCCAAUCCUUCGUUUCGCAAAUGAACCACGUUCCACCAAGUUAUAAACGGGCCGCGCCCUAUCCGACGUCAUCGCGGCAAUUCCUUCUUCCUGGUAUAAUCAACGAGAUGUCGUGAACUUGAAAGAAAUGUUGGAAAAACAGAAAAAAAUUAAGGUUGUACCCUCCCAGGGAGUUAUCCGAUGGAUUAUUAUCAUAUCCGCAAACAACGAGUCCAUUAAAAUGCAUCCGAAUGAGCCGCCGACGACGGUUUGGAUACUAUAUACACUCCUCCCGGUAUAAGUGCCAAAUGCCCUUGCGUUCAUCGGAAAUAAAAGCAUUUCAACAAUGUUUAUGGCAGUCGUCUUUUGCGCGAUUCCCACGCUAUGACCAUAUAUCUCUCCUUUUACGAGUUAUGAAAGCAAAUAUAUAAGUUAUUACAAAGGAA
This is a long non-coding RNA of Daphnia pulex (common water flea), 4145 nucleotides long. RefSeq lists it as uncharacterized. The record is from RefSeq and is a predicted model, not a curated record. Lineage: Eukaryota; Metazoa; Arthropoda; Branchiopoda; Diplostraca; Daphniidae. The transcript is spliced from 5 exons.